GGACCGUUGGCCCAAUGGCAAGGCGUCUGACUACGAUUAACACGAAAUCAGGAGAUUCUGGGUUCGACCCCCAGGCGGUCCU
This is a non-coding RNA of Xylariales sp. PMI_506, 82 nucleotides long. The record is from the annotation of a GenBank genome assembly. NCBI's taxonomy places the organism in Eukaryota, Fungi, Ascomycota, Sordariomycetes, Xylariales.